GGGUCUCAGAGGGUUAAUUCAGCCUGUUCAAGCCAAGAGAGAUUCUUAUGAACACAUCAUGUUAAAUGGCUGUGAACACACAUGCACACACACACACACACACACACACACACACACAGAUGAACUCAGUUGAUUUCCUGUAAAUGGAGAGAGGAGGAGCUGCACUGACGGUGUGACGCAGGCUCAUGAGGACAGAGGAAGGAAACCCUGAAAGGGGAAGUGUUUAGUUCAGUUCAGCUCCAGACUCCAUUUAGAGAUAACGGAGCAGAAGACUGAAGACUGAAGACUGAAGACUGAAGCAGGACUGACUUCAGAUCAGAAGAUGGAGGAAGAGGAGGACAGAGCAGAGUCUCUAGUCUCCGGCUGUCUGUCUAUUGAAGAGUGAUCAGUCUAAAGGUGCUAUU
This is a long non-coding RNA of Sebastes umbrosus (honeycomb rockfish), 404 nucleotides long. RefSeq lists it as uncharacterized. The transcript is spliced from 2 exons. The record is from RefSeq and is a predicted model, not a curated record. Lineage: Eukaryota; Metazoa; Chordata; Actinopteri; Perciformes; Sebastidae.